This 253-nucleotide ribosomal RNA is filed under the name uncultured bacterium. RNAcentral's name for it is "partial 16S ribosomal RNA". It matches the Rfam family "Bacterial small subunit ribosomal RNA", at positions 524 to 776 of the family's 1533-position model. The record is from RNAcentral.
GACGAACCGUGCGAACGUUGUUCGGAUUCACUGGGCUUAAAGGGCGCGUAGGCGGCUUGCCGAGUCAGGGGUGAAAUCUUUCGGCUUAACCGGAAAAGUGCUUCUGAUACUGGCAGGCUGGAGGGAGGUAGGGGCAGACGGAACUUCCGGUGGAGCGGUGAAAUGCGUAGAUAUCGGAAGGAACGCCGGUGGCGAAAGCGGUCUGCUGGACCUCUGCUGACGCUGAGGCGCGAAAGCCAGGGGAGCAAACGGG